Molecule: ribosomal RNA, 488 nt
Filed under: uncultured bacterium
Lineage: Bacteria
Description: partial 16S ribosomal RNA
Rfam family: Bacterial small subunit ribosomal RNA
Source: RNAcentral
GACGAACGCUGGCGGCGUGCCUCACACAUGCAAGUCGAACGGGGAUGCAGCAAAAGCUUGCUUUUAUUGCAUCCUAGUGGCGGACGGGUGAGUAACACGUGAGCAACCUGCCCGACAUACUGGGAUAACAGCGGGAAACCGUUGCUAAUACCGGAUACUCCAUUUCUGGCGCAUGUCAGAGAUGGGAAAGGGUUUAACGAUGUCGGAUGGGCUCGCGUCCCAUUAGCUGGUUGGUGAGGUAACGGCUCACCAAGGCUGCGAUGGGUAGCUGGUCUGAGAGGACGAUCAGCCACACUGGAACUGAGACACGGUCCAGACUCCUACGGGAGGCAGCAGUGGGGAAUAUUGCACAAUGGGCGAAAGCCUGAUGCAGCGACGCCGCGUGGAGGAUGAAGGCCUUCGGGUCGUAAACUCCUGUCUGGGGGGAUGAACACUGACAGUACCCCCGGAGGAAGCCCCGGCUAACUACGUGCCAGCAGCCGCGGUAA